AUAACAAUACAGGGCUCUUUAGAGGCCCUGUAAUUGUAAUGAGCCCACUUGAAAUCCUUUAACUAGGAUCAAUUGGAGGGCAAGUCUGGUGCAGAGCGACUGACCUGUAUGUGCUGCAGCUGAAACUCCAU
Molecule: ribosomal RNA, 131 nt
Filed under: Pelobates cultripes (western spadefoot toad)
Lineage: Eukaryota; Metazoa; Chordata; Amphibia; Anura; Pelobatidae
Description: SSU_rRNA_eukarya
Source: RNAcentral